Molecule: long non-coding RNA, 445 nt
Filed under: Ananas comosus (pineapple)
Lineage: Eukaryota; Viridiplantae; Streptophyta; Magnoliopsida; Poales; Bromeliaceae
Description: long non-coding RNA (ACOM_LNC030217)
Source: RNAcentral
UUUAAAUUUAUUACUUGGUAUAAUAUGUGAAAUUAGAAUAUUAAAAUUAAAGAUUUAAAAAUAUAUUUUGAUCAUUCAAUAUUAAUUUAUUAGAUAUGUUGUUAACAAAAAGAUUUUAUUUGUAAGACUAUCUGUGAAGUGCUAAUAAUUAUUUUUAGUGAUGUGAAGGGUAUUUUAGUAAUUAUAUAUGAACCGACAAAGUAAGGGGUGAGACGAAACCAACAAACAUAUUUACUUAUAAAACUAAUAAAACUAUAUACAUAGAUAAAUAGAUAAGAGUGAAAAAGAAAAAAAAAUUACGCGUUAUCUGCAUACCCACCUACAUACCUGCGGUCAGAUAUGGAUAAAAAUAUUGACUAUUUAAAAAUUUACGAAUAAAUUAUAUUCAUAUUCAAAUAAUUCGCAAGUAUAAUGAUUCAUUGGUGGAUUAUACAAUUCGUCCAUU